GAGUGCAGAGAACGUGAAACCGAUGUAAUGGAAGCAUAUGGAGCCGACGUAUCUUGUGCGUAUUCAUUCGGUUGGCUAUAUGAAGCUUGGUUGGUAUUCCGUAAGGUUGCUUGCUGGGUGUUUUGUAUGGCAAAUUGGUGCAUUUGCUUACGGAGUGCGCUGACCAGGUAGAUUCUGCGGUUGAAAGUAUGUUUAGAGGACCAGCUUAGGUUGGAAACCUGAAUGUGCGGAAGGCUGUUGGGAUUUGCUUUAGAUUGGGUUGUAGGCCAACGUGUUUGUUGUGCUUGGAUUGUGGUGCGUAAGCGUAACACAUGUGUGGCGUUUGCGUGUUGCUUUUCGGGUGGAACGAAUACUCUGCAGCUCGCUCGGUGUCUAGUCGGUCACCCAUUUGACCCGUCUUGAAACACGGACCAAGGAGUUUAAGGUGUGCGCGAGUCAUUGGGCUGUGAACCCUAAAGGCGAAAUGAAAGUGAAAUGCAUAGUGUUUGUGGUGUGAUCGGUUGGUGUUUCGAUGCCGGCCGAGCAACAUCGCUCCGUUCCUGGGACUUGUUCUGGUGCGGCAGCUGAGCGUACGCCUUGAGACCCGAAAGAUGGUGAACUAUGCCUGAACAGGACGAAGCCAGAGGAAACUCUGGUGGAAGUCCGAAGCGGUUCUGACGUGCAAAUCGAUCGUAUGAUUUUGGUAUAGGGGCGAAAGACUAAUCGAACCAUCUAGUAG
Molecule: ribosomal RNA, 718 nt
Filed under: Basilaphelenchus sp. h BG-2019
Lineage: Eukaryota; Metazoa; Nematoda; Chromadorea; Rhabditida; Aphelenchoididae
Description: partial large subunit ribosomal RNA
Rfam family: Eukaryotic large subunit ribosomal RNA
Source: RNAcentral